Molecule: long non-coding RNA, 242 nt
Organism: Euleptes europaea (tarantolino)
Lineage: Eukaryota; Metazoa; Chordata; Lepidosauria; Squamata; Sphaerodactylidae
Exons: 3
Source: RefSeq, a predicted model, not a curated record
CAGCUGAGCGGAAGCGCUCUCUUGGCAAAGACUACCACCCUCUUUGUCUGAAGUGCUACCACUGCAAACGGCAACUCAGCCCUGGCCAGCAUGCCGAGUACGAUGACAAACCCUAUUGCUCCCAUUGUUAUCUUCAACGCUUUGGACCAAGAGGGACAAGACCAUUAACAAGUUGCUCAUCCUUUGGUGCAUCUGCUUUAUCUAAGGUUCCAGCAGCAACCCGAAAGACCUCUUAGAUGUCC